CGCAUUUAUUAGAACAAAACCACGCGGCUUCGGCUGCUUCUUGUUGACUCAGAAUAACUUAGCUGACCGCAUGGCCUUGUGCCGGCGGCGUGUCUUUCAAGCGUCCACUUUAUCAACUUGACGGGAGCAUAAUCGACUCCCGUGGUGGUGACGGAUAACGGAGGAUCAGGGUUCGACUCCGGAGAAGGGGCCUGAGAAAUGGCCACUACGUCUAAGGAUGGCAGCAGGCGCGCAAAUUACCCACUCUCGGCUCGAGGAGGUAGUGACGAGAAAUAACGAGACUGUUCUCUUUGAGGCCGGUCAUCGGAAUGGGUACAAUUUAAACCCUUUAACGAGUAUCAAGCAGAGGGCAAGUCUGGUGCCAGCAGCCGCGGUAAUUCCAGCUCUGCAAAUACAUAGAAUUAUUGCUGCGGUUAGAAAGCUCAUAGUUGGAUUCGUAUCGAUACCUUGGAACCCUUCGGGUGUCUCUAGGUGUUAUCGAUUUAUCGUAAUGUUCGGUUUUGAGUCCUUAACAGGAUUCUUAACAGGCAUUGCAAGUUUACUUUGAACAAAUCAGAGUGCUUCAAACAGGCGUUUUCGCUUGAAUGAUCGUGCAUGGAAUAAUAGAAAAUGAUUUCGGUUCAGUUUUAUUGGUUUUACGGACUGAGAUAAUGGUUAACAGAGACAAACGGGGGCAUUUGUAUGGUCCCGUGAGAGGUGAAAUUCUUGGACCGUGGCCAGACAAACUACAGCGAAAGCAUUUGCCAAGAAUGUUUUUAUUAAUCAAGAACGAAAGUCAGAGGUUCGAAGGCGAUCAGAUACCGCCCUAGUUCUGACCGUAAACGAUGCCAACUAGCGAUCCGCCGAUGGAAAUUAUAUUGCCUUGGUGGGGAGCUUCCCGGAAACGAAAGUCUUCCGGUUCCGGGGGAAGUAUGGUUGCAAAGCUGAAACUUAAAGGAAUUGACGGAAGGGCACCACCAGGAGUGGAGCCUGCGGCUUAAUUUGACUCAACACGGGGAAACUCACCCGGCCCGGACACUGUGAGGAUUGACAGAUUGAUAGCUUUUUCAUGAUUCAGUGGAUGGUGGUGCAUGGCCGUUCUUAGUUCGUGGAGUGAUUUGUCUGGUUUAUUCCGAUAACGAGCGAGACUCUAACCUACUAAAUAGUUGGUACAUACUCUUAGUGUAUACAGCUUCUUAGAGGGAUUUGCGGCGUUCAGCCGAAAGAAAUUGAGCAAUAACAGGUCUGUGAUGCCCUUAGAUGUCCGGGGCUGCACGCGCGCUACACUGGCAAAAUCAACGUGCUUGUCCUACCCUGAAAGGGGCGGGUAAACCAUUGAAAAUUUGCCGUGAUUGGGAUCGGAAAUUGCAAUUAUUUUCCGUGAACGAGGAAUUCCAAGUAAGUGCGAGUCAUCAGCUCGCGUUGAUUACGUCCCUGCCCUUUGUACACACCGCCCGUCGCUGCCCGGGACUGAGCCAUUUCGAGAAAUUUGGGGACCGUUGAUUUAAUUUUUCUAAAUUACU
This 1502-nucleotide ribosomal RNA is filed under the name Meloidogyne javanica (root-knot nematode). RNAcentral describes it as "SSU rRNA". It matches the Rfam family "Eukaryotic small subunit ribosomal RNA", at positions 202 to 1742 of the family's 1831-position model. Lineage: Eukaryota; Metazoa; Nematoda; Chromadorea; Rhabditida; Meloidogynidae. The record is from RNAcentral.